UUACGGGAAGGUCGACUAGUCGUCUCU
RNAcentral lists this small RNA (27 nucleotides) under Bombyx mori (domestic silkworm). RNAcentral's name for it is "ovarian small RNA-36553". The record is from RNAcentral. Lineage: Eukaryota; Metazoa; Arthropoda; Insecta; Lepidoptera; Bombycidae.